AGAACUUGAAACCGUGUGCUUACAAGUAGUCAGAGCCCGUUAAUGGGUGAUGGCGUGCCUUUUGUAGAAUGAACCGGCGAGUUACGAUUUGAUGCAAGGUUAAGCAGCUAAUGUGGAGCCGUAGCGAAAGCGAGUCUGAAUAGGGCGUUUAGUAUUUGGUCGUAGACCCGAAACCAGGUGAUCUACCCUUGGUCAGGUUGAAGUUCAGGUAACACUGAAUGGAGGACCGAACCGACUUACGUUGAAAAGUGAGCGGAUGAACUGAGGGUAGCGGAGAAAUUCCAAUCGAACUUGGAGAUAGCUGGUUCUCUCCGAAAUAGCUUUAGGGCUAGCCUCAAGUGAUGAUUAUUGGAGGUAGAGCACUGUUUGGACGAGGGGCCCUUCUCGGGUUACCGAAUUCAGACAAACUCCGAAUGCCAAUCAAUUUAACUUGGGAGUCAGAACAUGGGUGAUAAGGUCCGUGUUCGAAAGGGAAACAGCCCAGACCACCAGCUAAGGUCCCAAAAUAUAUGUUAAGUGGAAAAGGAUGUGGCGUUGCCCAGACAACUAGGAUGUUGGCUUAGAAGCAGCCAUCAUUUAAAGAGUGCGUAAUAGCUCACUAGUCGAGUGACACUGCGCCGAAAAUGUACCGGGGCUAAACAUAUUACCGAAGCUGUGGAUUGUCCGUAGGACAAUGGUAGGAGAGCGUUCUAAGGGCGUCGAAGCAUGAUCGCAAGGACAUGUGGAGCGCUUAGAAGUGAGAAUGCCGGUGUGAGUAGCGAAAGACGGGUGAGAAUCCCGUCCACCGAUUGACUAAGGUUUCCAGAGGAAGGCUCGUCCGCUCUGGGUUAGUCGGGUCCUAAGCUGAGGCCGACAGGCGUAGGCGAUGGAUAACAGGUUGAUAUUCCUGUACCACCUAGUAUCGUUUUAAUCGAUGGGGGGACGCAGUAGGAUAGGCGAAGCGUGCUAUUGGAUUGCACGUCCAAGCAGUAAGACUGAGUGUUAGGCAAAUCCGGCACUCAUAAGGUCAAGCUGUGAUGGGGAGAGGAAAUU
Molecule: ribosomal RNA, 1032 nt
Filed under: Staphylococcus warneri
Lineage: Bacteria; Bacillati; Bacillota; Bacilli; Caryophanales; Staphylococcaceae
Description: partial 23S ribosomal RNA
Rfam family: Bacterial large subunit ribosomal RNA
Source: RNAcentral